AGGACUAACGCUGGCGGCGUGCCUAACACAUGCAAGUCGAACGAGGUAGCAAUACCUAGUGGCAGACGGGUGAGUAACGCGUGGUCAACCUACCUCUUAGUGGGGGAUAACUAGCCGAAAGGUUAGCUAAUACCGCAUACGAUCGUCGCGAGGCAUCUCGUGACGAUGAAAGGAGCAAUUCGCUAAGAGAGGGGACUGCGUCCCAUUAGUUAGUUGGUGGGGUAAUGGCCUACCAAGACUCCGAUGGGUAGCUGGCUUGAGAGAGCGACCAGCCACACUGGAACUGAGACACGGUCCAGACUCCUACGGGAGGCAGCAGUGAGGAAUUUUCGGCAAUGGGGGAAACCCUGACCGAGCAACGCCGCGUGCAGGAAGACGGCCUUCGGGUUGUAAACUGCUUUUCUUUGGGACGAGCGAAGGACGGUACCGAGAGGAAUCGAGCCCCGGCUCACUACGUGCCAGCAGCCGC
Molecule: ribosomal RNA, 469 nt
Filed under: uncultured bacterium
Lineage: Bacteria
Description: SSU rRNA
Rfam family: Bacterial small subunit ribosomal RNA
Source: RNAcentral